AUUGAACGCUGGCGGCAGGCCUAACACAUGCAAGUCGAACGGUAGCACAGAGAGCUUGCUCUCGGGUGACGAGUGGCGGACGGGUGAGUAAUGUCUGGGAAACUGCCUGAUGGAGGGGGCUAACUACUGGAAACGGUAGCUAAUACCGCAUAACGUCGCAAGACCAAAGAGGGGGACCUUCGGGCCUCUUGCCAUCAGACGUGCCCAGAUGGGAUUAGCUAGUAGGUGGGGUAACGGCUCACCCAGGCGACGAUCCCUAGCUGGUCUGAGAGGAUGACCGGCCACACGGGAACUGUGACACGGUCCAGACGCCUACGGGAGGCAGCAGUGGGGAAUAUUGCACAAUGGGCGCAAGCCUGAUGCAGCCAUGCCGCGUGUAUGAAGAAGGCCUUCGGGUUGUAAAGUACUUUCAGCGGGGAGGAAGGCGGUGAGGUUAAUAACCUCAUCGAUUGACGUUACCCGCAGAAGAAGCACCGGCUAACUCCGUGCCAGCCGCCGCCGUAA
RNAcentral lists this ribosomal RNA (504 nucleotides) under uncultured bacterium. RNAcentral's name for it is "partial 16S ribosomal RNA". It matches the Rfam family "Bacterial small subunit ribosomal RNA", at positions 29 to 523 of the family's 1533-position model. The record is from RNAcentral.